GAAGAUCCGGCGCAGCUAAAGUCAGUGGAAGGUAGAAAGACGCCACAGCCGCCUUUCGACAACUUUUUGUUACAAAAGUGGAGAUCUACACGGAGGCGACGGCCUAGGUCGCUCUGACAGGACCCAACGACCCUCCUGACGCGUCCACCCGUCCUCGCUAGCAGGGUCCCCCAGCGGGCUCUCGACCUGCGCCACCAGAGUUCCACUCUUUUUGUCGACAAUAAUAUGGCGCCCAAACACGUGGGGCCUCAGAGAAGACUCUGGAUCCGGAAGGAGUAUCCCAAAACCAGAGCUAAGGUACCAGCUGGAGCCCACUGAAGCCUCACCGAGUUUGGGCUUCUCCUCCUGUGGAACUGGAAACCAAAAUCAUGGUAUUUUGAAAACCAGAGGUAUGAAUCUCCCUCGUUUGGCAUCCCACUGGGCCUGGACCUGUUUCACUGCUAAUGUUCUGCUGCCAAAACUAUACAAGCUGCCUGGACUAUUGCAGAAGAGGUGGGUGCAUAAGAUUGUAAGGACCGGCUUUCAGGGAAAAAAUUAGCUUAAGGUCAAACCCUCCAAAUCAAGAAAGGGGGUACAAAAAUGCCUAAACAGCAGGUAAAACAAGUUUAGUUGCCUUCUAAGCUAUUAUGUGUCACUUUUGCAUCCACCCCAACCAUAAAAAUUUUCUGCUUACUAUAGAAUUAAAGGAAAUUCUUUACUAACAGGAUAAAAAUAUUUUGUAACAAAGCCUCCUGGGUAUAAUACUACCAAUCAUGAGUUGUGAAGAUCGAUCGAUCUAUCUAUCUAUCUAUCUAUCUAUCUAUCUAUGUAACUAUAUUUUUCAGAAGAAUGCUUAUGUUUGGUAUAUAAGGCUAACUGUUACAAGUCUGUAACAAAAACCAAGCUCACAGUAGCUCAACACAUAGAAGUUAAAAAUAAGUCCGUCUUUUAACUUUUGUUUUGUUUUGUUUUGUUGUUGGCUUUUUUACUUAAAAUAAUAAUUUUACGAAGUAACAAGUGCCUGUCCACAUCCAUUCCUAUAUGGCUUAGAACAAUUAAUUGGCUAUAUGUCCUUUGUCUCUUAAGGCCCUUGGCCAUAGGGAGUCCUGCCAAGGGACAAAAACAACAACAACAACAACAACAACAAAAACACAAAAAACCACUGUAGAAUUAUUUGACUUCUCCUGUGACAAAACUUCCUCUUCUCUCCCAAAUACCAGUCAGUAUAUGGUGCAAUACAAAAAUGGUAGGAAAAAUAGAUUUGUCUACUGUUAACAAGUUUAUAACAAUUUAGACACUGAGGACCAGGCAUUCCU
This 1295-nucleotide long non-coding RNA is filed under the name Homo sapiens (human). RNAcentral describes it as "HSALNT0361823". Lineage: Eukaryota; Metazoa; Chordata; Mammalia; Primates; Hominidae. The record is from RNAcentral.